Hyla sarda is the source of this 411-nucleotide long non-coding RNA. RefSeq lists it as uncharacterized. The record is from RefSeq and is a predicted model, not a curated record. Lineage: Eukaryota; Metazoa; Chordata; Amphibia; Anura; Hylidae. The transcript has 3 exons.
GACCUCGGGCCCCUAAUGCAGUCAAGAACAGACUACCAAAGUCCAAUCACAAGAAGUAACACUACCAUCAGCCUUGGACCACGCCAACAAGGAAAUGUCGACCAACCCGUCGGGGAGGUCGCUGACAUCAACGCUCCUGUACAGACUCGAGCCCAGAAAUUCAACAAGACAUCUCAGCGGAAGACACAUCCCAGACAGAAAUAGCUAAACCAAUCACGAAUAUGAAAAAGACUAGUGGCAGCAAAUACCGAACAGAGGCUAUUCUGUUGAAGAUUUUGCGUCCGUUUUAUGCAUAUGUAUAUUUAAUAUUACAUUUUUUCUUUCCCCCUUCCAAAAUUUUUUUUUUCUCUUCUUUUUGCUCCCUCUCCUUUGGCUUGCUGUUUUGACCUUGCACAGAUUUAAAUGUCUACU